AGGACGAACGCUGGCGGCGUGCUUAACACAUGCAAGUCGAACGGUGAUCUUUGGGGCUUGCCCUGGGGUGAUCAGUGGCGAACGGGUGAGUAACACGUGAGUAACCUGCCCCAGACUCUGGGAUAACUUCGGGAAACCGUAGCUAAUACCGGAUAUGACACGGAGACGCAUGUUUAUCGUGUGGAAAGUUUUUCGGUCUGGGAUGGACUCGCGGCCUAUCAGCUUGUUGGUGAGGUAAUGGCUCACCAAGGCGACGACGGGUAGCCGGCCUGAGAGGGCGAUCGGCCACACUGGGACUGAGACACGGCCCAGACUCCUACGGGAGGCAGCAGUGGGGAAUAUUGCACAAUGGGCGCAAGCCUGAUGCAGCGACGCCGCGUGAGGGAUGACGGCCUUUGGGUUGUAAACCUCUUUCAGCAGGGAAGAGCGCAAGUGACGGUACCUGCAGAAGAAGCACCGGCUAACUACGUGCCAGCAGCCGCGGUAA
RNAcentral lists this ribosomal RNA (487 nucleotides) under uncultured bacterium. RNAcentral describes it as "SSU rRNA". It matches the Rfam family "Bacterial small subunit ribosomal RNA", at positions 26 to 523 of the family's 1533-position model. The record is from RNAcentral.